CCUGAAAGAGUUUGUGACUAGGCUCGCCCGUAAU
RNAcentral lists this small RNA (34 nucleotides) under Bombyx mori (domestic silkworm). RNAcentral describes it as "ovarian small RNA-14001". Lineage: Eukaryota; Metazoa; Arthropoda; Insecta; Lepidoptera; Bombycidae. The record is from RNAcentral.